Molecule: long non-coding RNA, 155 nt
Organism: Impatiens glandulifera
Lineage: Eukaryota; Viridiplantae; Streptophyta; Magnoliopsida; Ericales; Balsaminaceae
Exons: 2
Source: RefSeq, a predicted model, not a curated record
UCUCUUUCAAUCGCAACGGGCAACUAAUUGGGAUUCCGGCUCCUGGUUCAGCUUGGAUUAAUGUCUAUCCAAGGGGAAUUCGUGAUUUCCUUAUCCAUGUAAAGGAUAAAUAUGGAAACCCAAAAGUUUUUAUCACUGAAAAUGGUAUAUUUGAA